AGGAUUCGUUCGACUACAUCCGUUUGUCUUCUUCUUGGACUCGUUCUUCUUCCUUGCGGGAUCUCAGGCAAGAUGACCAUACCCUCGAAAUCACAUCUACCUUUGCUUGCUAGUUGCUUGCUCUUUUGCUAUGCCGUGAUACCUACCACUUGCUAUAUCAUGCCUCCCAUAUUGCCAUGUCAAGCCUCUAACCCACCUUUCCUAGCAAACCGUUGUUUGGCUAUGUUACCGCUUUGCUCAGCCCCUCUUAUAGCAUUGUUAGUUGCAGGUGAAGAUUGGAGUUUGUUCCUUGUUGGAACAUGUUUAUUGUUGGGAUAUCACAAUAUCUCUUAUUUACUUUAAUGCACCUAUAUCCUUGGUAAAGGGUGGAAGGCUCGGCCUUAUGCCUGGUGUUUUGUUCCACUCUUGCCGCCCUAGUUUCCAUCAUACCGGUGUUAUGUUCCUUGAUUUUGCGUUCCUUGCGCAGUUGGGUUAUAAUGGGAACCCCUUGACAGUUCGCCUUGAAUAAAACUCCUCCAGCAAGGCCCAACCUUUAUUUUACCAUUUUCCACCUAAGCCCUUCUCCCUUGGGUUCUGCAGACUCAAGGGUCAUCUUUAUUUUAAUCCCUCGGGCCAGUGCUCCUCUGAGUGUUCAUCCAACUUGUUAGCCACCGGUGGCCACCAGGGGUAACUCUGGGCUGGCCUACCGGAAGUUUGGACAAUCCGGUGUGCCCUGAGAACGAGAUAUGUGCAGCUCCUAUCGGGAUUUGUCAGCACAUUCGGGUGGCUUUGCUGGUCUUGUUUUACCAUUGUCGAAAUGUCUUGUAACCGGGAUUCCGAGUCUGAUCGGGUCUUCUUGGGAGAAGGAAUAUCCUUCGUUGACCGUGAGAGCUUGUGAUGGGCUAAGUUGGGACACCCCUGCAGGGUUAUGAACUUUCGAAAGCCGUGCCCGCGGUUAUGGGCAGAUGGGAAUUUGUUAAUGUCCGGUUGUAGAAAACUUGACACUUAACUUAAUUAAAAUGCAUCAACCACAUGUGUAGCCGUGAUGGUCUCUUUCCGGCGGAGUCUGGGAAGUGAACACGGUUUCGUGUUAUGCUUGAACGUAAGUAGUUUCAGGAUCACUUCUUGAUCAUUUUAGCCUCUCGGCCGUGCUUUGCUUCUCUUCUCGCUCUCAUUUGCGUAAGUUAGCCACCAUAUAUGCUAGUGCUUGCUGCAGCUCCACCUCACUACCUUUUCCUACCCAUAAGCUUAAAUAGUCUUGAUCUCGCGGGUGUGAGAUUGCUGAGUCCCCGUGACUCACAGAUUACUUCCAAAACUAGUUACAGGUGCCGAUGGGACCAGUGCAGGUGACGCAAUCGAGCUCAAGGAGGAGCUUGAUGAAGUUCAUGUUCGUUGUGUUGUUUCAUUUCCAGUUGAUCAGUAGUGGAGCCCAGUCGAGGUGAUCAGGGAUCUAUGCAUUAGGGGUUUUCUUUCUUUAUUUGGUUACGUAGUCGGGCCUUGAUUGUAUUCUGGAUGAUGUAAUGCUAUAUUUAUGUAUUAUGUGAAGUGGCGAUUGUAGGCCAACUCUUUAUCCCUCUCUUAUUCUGUACAUGGGAUGUGUAAAGAUUACCCCUCUUGCGACAUGCCUACAAUGCGGUUAUGCCUCUAAGUCAUGCUUCGACACGUGGGAGAUAUAGCUGCAUCGUGGGUGUUAUAAGUUGGUAAUCAGAGCCUUCCCCGACUUAGGAGCCCCCUGCUUGAUCGAAUCGCUAGCGUUGUUGAGUAUAGAAAAAUGGUUUGAGUCUUUUAGGAUUAUAUAUAUCGGAGAGUAGGAUUCUUUUACUCCUCAAUCCCUUCAUCGCUCUGGUGAGGCAUCCUGACGUAGAGUUUUGACUCUUCUCUCCUCAAAUUUCACUAAAAAAAUUUAGGAUCACGUGGGUAUCUUGGAAUCGUUUCGAUGGUUUUGUGACGAGAACAUUGUUCUUGGUGCCUCCUGACAUUUAGGGGUUGUGGCAGUGUCCCGGGGAGUUGAGCUCUGAGGUGUUGUCGUCGCAAUUUUAUCGUUGCAGUUCUGGAAUACCUGAGCUUCGCCGACAUAGAAAAUAUCUUUUAUACAGUUGUUGGUGAGAUAACCUCAACGCCACCCAGUACUGGGGCGGGAGUUCGGGAGUAUUGCCAUAACUCGUAUAAUGGAUGUUUUUUGAAGGUUGAGGUAAACGAUUUCCGAAGGUUUCUUGGUUAUGUGUUGAAGGAUGGAUACAGCUGGAUGUAGGAUUUGCUAGUUUUGGGUGAGAUAUUAUGCUUCCCCUGUAUCCCCAACACCUGAUUGCAUAACUGGAAAGUUUCGGGAGUUUAUAAGUGGGAAUUCAAGUAGCCCUUAGGAUAUCUUUCCGACAGAUGCAUGAUAUGAGAUUGGGGUUCAACGUCUAGUGGUCCGCCUAUCCACGGUUGGUUUUACAGUGGUCUCGUUGUGUCUUAAAGAGUCCUUGGCUAUGCUGACUCGGGGACGCUUCAUAUGUCAUGUGCACUUCCUUGUACAUGAUGGUGCUGUACGAUCGAGCCCGUGUGGGCCCCACCAUGAAAACUUCGGACAAAAUCUCUAUCAUAUGUUUGUUCCGGCUUAUUCUGCAAGCCAAUCCUUUGUUUUUUUUUGAGUUGUGGUAUUCGAGUUGCUUCAGUGUCAAGUGUUGAUUCCAUACCUUCCCCAAAUGGUGUUCUCAUAUUUCUAUGUGAAUACUAAUCCUUCAUGAUAAUCGAGAUUGUCAUGUAAAUCCUUUUCAACCGGCGUGUCAUCUCUUCUAGUGGAUACAAUCUUUUCAAAAAUUCGCAAGGUCAAACCUCAGUUUUCCCAACAGUGUUCGUUUCAUCCAUCCCAAGUUGCCUUUGUUUUUCCCGCCCUCCCACCCUUUUUCUUCAAGGACUCAGAUUUCUUAAUCAAGUAUCAUCUUAUUGAUGAGAAGUCUCUCCAUUCUUUUUCGCCAAUGUUCUUAUCCGGUGAUUCUCAUGAAGAUGAUAAAGGAAGCUUCAAGUUUAUCAUUCUUUGUUCUUUUAUCUUCCCCGGUUUUUUCAAUGCAAUCUUUCGAUGGUGAUCACAUCCUUUUCCUCGUUUCAAAUGUGUUCUCAUGUCGGUGCACCUCUUAAUCACCCACUCUUGCUAUUCUAUUAUUCCGGAGUGCUGAAGAUAUCUCAGAAGGCUCGUCUUGUCAUCCAAGAUCCGUUCAACCUAUUUCGAGUUUGUCAUCUCAUUCAGGCCGUUUAACUCAACCGAUGCAAUCUCCUUUUCAAGUAAUCAUUCAACGGUGUUUUCUCUUGAGUGGGACCUAACCCACAUGUCUUUUCCCAAGAUCUUACCUAACUCUUCUAAUUUUAUCCGGAGUGAUUCCCAAAUUCUUUUCAAAGUUCGACGUAAGAAUGAUUUGUCAUCAGUCAAAUGUCUUUCUUGAAGAUCUGUCAAAUUAUUGUCAUCGUCUGUUCAACCAUUCUAAUUUUCAUCCCGGAGUAUCUCAACAAUUCAUGGUCGUGUUUCUCGUCGUCAUUCUCGGAUUUUGAAGACCGAAGAAGAGUUUCUCUUAAAUCUUGCUCCAUUCUCUUCAAGAUUCAUGGUUCUAGCUUGAUGCCCUCCUCUCAUAAUUGUUUUGAUUGUGAGAAUUCUUUUCAUCUAUCCGGAGCAAUUCAUGAGUCUUUUCAGUUUGAUUCUCCGAAGGCCAUCAUUUCGGGUUUAUUCAUUCUCAGCUUUCAGUUAUCAUUCUCCAAAUCUUACCGGUGCAUCAUUCAAGUAUUCUCUAAUCAGUUCGUGAUCUCUUCGUUCUCAUAUAUCUAAAUCCAAACAAGUACCUUCAUUCGUUUUUCCAAUUCUUCCCGGUGAUUGUUGCCUUUGCUAUUUUUCAUUUUCAAUUCUUACGGUGGUUCGUUCAAGAUUUCUCUUCCUUCAUUAUCUUAUCAAUGCAUUCAUUGUUUCAAUUCUACUGGUGGAUCGUUGGAGACCUUCUCUAGUUGCGCUAUAUCUAUCUUAACCCUUUCUACGAGAAUAAGUAGUAUGCCAAAUCCGUUGCUUGUCAUCAAUUUAAAUUGGUGAAGGAUAAGCAUAAUGUAAUUCUUACUCUUGUUUCAUCCAAGUGAUUAAUUCCUUAUUCCGGAGGCUCAUCAAAUUCUCGGUUUAAAUUGUUUCAUCUUUUCUUUUUCCAGAGUCCCAUGUUUUUCGAAUUAUAUCAUCAUGAAGAUCCAUCUAAAUCAUUGCAAGGCUUCAAUCUUAUUCUUUUCAUCCUUCAAUUCUUUUCGAUCAUUCUUUUAUUACCAGAGUUCUUCAUGGAGGCUCUACAUGAUGGUUGAUCAAGGAUUCAAUUUCUUCUCGAAGUGUUCAUUGAGGUUCUUUUCAGAGGAGUUCAAGCAUUCUGCAUCUUGCAUCCCAAAGUGCAAUUCCUUCUAUCUUAUCUUUUGAGGUGGUGUUAUGUCAUUCUUGAUAAUUUCCCUUCGUGUUUCAUGAUUCACAAGUUAUCAAGAAUGAGGUAUUUUAAAUCCAUUAAUCUCUUUGUUGGAGUUGUCUUGUGUCAUAUUUCACCUAAAGCCUUCCCUCAGGAAUGUUGCUAUUGUGGUGCUUAUCAAUGAUUCAAGUUAUCUCUCUUUCUUCUUGGUGGAAGAAGUUUUCAUCUCUUCUUUAUUCCCGAUCAAUCAUUGUUUUUCAUUAGUGGCAGAAUUUCACCUUAGUUUUGAGAUGUUCUCCAUAAGCCCACUACAAGCUUACUCUUUUCGUUGUUGGUUUUCUAACAACUCCGUUAUAACCCUCUUGGAAGGGUGCCUUCCAAGAUCAUUUGUGGCAGAAGUUGUCAUUUUCUUCUCAAUUCUUUCUUUUCCAAUGAUCCAACUUCUAUUCUUUUGUUCCGGAGGCAUUGUGAUGUUGUUCUUUUCACCCAUCAUCUCGUUUUGUCAAAGAUCAUGUUCUUUUCGUGCUUAUCCUUUUAACCGGAGUGUUGUGUCUAUCAUUCCUCUUCUAACCGGACUCUCAUCCAAGUGCUUUCAUUUUGCCAAGCUCAUAUUCUUUACCUUCCAUUUCCAACCGGAGUGUUGUCGUAAUUGAUCCUUAUCGCUCCUUGUACAUCUCGUUUCUACCGGAGUGCUUGCAUGUACUUCUUGUCCAUUGCAACCCUUUUUCUUAUGUCUUUCAACCUGCAAGGUUCUAGUAAUGUUCUUUGUUCCUCUUUUCUAACGAAGUGUUUUCAACUUUGUUCAUCUCCGUUGUAUUCUUCUUUCCAAUUGUUUAACCUCGCAAGGUUCUUUGGUUUCACUCAUUGGUCUAAGAAGCAACUUUGUUUUACCUCUUCCUCUUCCGUUUUCUAUCCGGUGCCAUCCCAGAUCUCGGGACGAGAUCCUCUCGUAGUGGUGGAGUGUUGCAACACCCCGAGACCGAUGCUCGAGAAGACUUCCAUGUGUUCCGGGUUUCGCCGUGUGUUUCAUUUGUGCCUGCCCUUUUAUUUUUGCAUUGCAUCAUGUCUUCAUGCCAUCAUCUCAUAAAUCUUUUGCAACUCAACUAAAUAAAUGGCAUGGAUCUUUGAUCCAUUUAAACCGAGGGAAUUCACAUGGCGAUUCUCUUUACAACAUAUCCUCUCGAUAUUUAGAGAGCUAUAGUAAAUAUUCCAAUUAUCUGGAUUUACCGCAAACACACUUGCAAAAUAUCCCAAUGCCUUUGUUAUCUUAAUUCUUGGUCUCCAACAUGGCCAUAUAUUUCUUUCUUCAUAUUUCGGAGCCCCACCAAAAAUCCGAGCAUUUUUGGACACCUCUAUUUCCUAGCCCUUGUUCAAACCAUUUGAAUUAAAUUCAAAUGACUUUGAAUUAAAUCCUUGCAAUCACGCCUCUCCUAUUUUUUCUUGGAACCAGCGCAUUUUUGCGAGUCCGGGAAUAUUAUCUAUGUGCACUAAUUCUUUCCCUAACCCCUCCCUCUUUCUUUUCUUCUCCAUUUUUGUUUUCUGCUUAGAAAUAAGGGAGAGAGAGGAGAGAGCCCAGCAGGCCGGCCUCUAGGGCCCAUCCCUAGGCCCAGCCGCGCCCCUGCCUAAUCCCUAGGCCAACUGCACCUGGGCCACCCGAACUCCCGCGCCGGCCCAACUUAACCCCCACUAACCCUAGGCCUCCCGCUCGAUCCCCUGCACCUGUCCUCCUCGUUCCCUCACGCCGCCAGGGAAACGCUAGCCCAAUCCCCACUCCCACGAUCCCAUCGCUCUCCCUCCACCGCCAGGAGACCCACGCUCGACCCCUCCUCUCGCUCGAUCCCGCUCGUCCCCAUCUCCCUCUCGACCCCCUCAUCCACUUCUCACUAGUGCCGUCUCCGACCUCGCCCGAUCUCCUUCUCCCCUCGACCUCCCGAUCCACCGCCAUCCUCCAUGUGCGAGGACGCCACCGACAACGGCGUCACCAUCAACGUCACGUGCCUGCAGCGCUCGGCUUCCUACCCGAGUCCAGGCCGCCGCCGUGCCUCCGCCCUUGCCAUGGGCACCGCGAUCUCGUCCCCGCCACCUUGCACUCACCUUGGCCGCGCCUCCCUCUGCUGCCGCCCAUGGCCCGACGCCCGAGCGCCUCCUGCCGCGAGCUCCACCAGGACCACGUCGCCGCCCCGCCUCCAAGUUCGCCGCCCUCAAGCGCCGCAUUGGCCAUGCCCGACGCCGCCAGCAGGGCCCCGUUCCCGUCUCCGGCGCCUCAAGACCAUGCCCGAGCCCUCUGCUCGAGCAGGAGCUUCGCCUCCUUGCUUCGUGCCAAGGCCGACGCCGGCCACUUUGCCUUCGUCUCUUGCUGCCGGCACACCGUCGGACCUCCGCCUCUCCCUGUUCUUCAUGCUGCCUGUCGGCCCUCCGUUUCUUCCUCGCGGUGAACACAUUCAGCAUGGAUGUUUUGAGUUGUUUGUCUCAUGCACACGUCGUGUUUUCCUCCAAAUCCACCAAAGGACACCAUGCAAAAUAACCAAGCACCCAUGGACGCAAGUACCAACCGCCGCAUUCCGUUUCAUAUUUGUCAAGGCCGAGAGGAUGCCAAGUACCACGACGUCGAUGCCCCUCAAGUUCGACUACAUGUAACAGCAAGUACCACUACGGCCGGAGACCUUAGACCUGUCAAGUACCCUGUUGGUGUCAAAACCGGCGGAUCUCGGGUAGGGGGUCCCGAACUGUGCGUCUAGGCCGGAUGGUAGCAGGAGGCAAGGGACACGAAGUUUUACCCAGGUUCGAGCCCUCUCGAUGGAGGUAAAACCGUACGUCCUGCUUGAUUAAUAUUGAUGAUAUGGGUAGUACAAGAGUAGAUCUACCACGAGAUCAGAGAGGCUAAACCCUAGGAGCAUUCGCAGAUCUUCCUCAUAGCGUGUCCGAUGCCGCCGCAUUCUAUCGAGCCGAGGAGGGCAGCUCGACAGAGAAGGUGUUUUGGUCUCAGUAUGCUAAGGCCGGACACCCCGUGCCCCUGAGCGACCAGCUGAAGCAACUGGUCGAGCUCCACAAGGCAGCCGAACAGGCCAUGAAGGGCCUCAUAGUUCGGAUGUGGCCUAGAGAGGCUCUGCCUGGGAGCUAUUUCGGGCUGGUGCGGCGGCUGGUGGGGGCCUGUCCAAGGCUCGAAGUCAUCAAGCGCUCCGCCUGCAUUGAAGGUGCCCAUAGGGCCCUUGCCCGUGCUAAAGUGCACUGGGGCAAGCUGGAUGCUGAGAAGCUUGUGAAGGACGGGCCACCGCCGGGGAAGGAGCAUCGCAAGCCCGAGAAUUAUUAUAAGGAUGUUCUGAAGGGUGCCUGCCUUAUGGCGGAUGAGUGUUCCAGGGAUGUAUUUUUUGAGUAAAACUCGCUCUUUUUGUCUUGUGCGCUGAAAACUUGUUCAUAUGCGCUAAGCAAUGCUGUUGGAAUUUAAAAUAUUACCUUCUGUGCGGCUGUUUAUCAAUUUUGAGAGAUGGCGAGUCGUCGGCUUCUGCCCCCGUGCCGCUAGUGCUGGGGUGUUCACGGAUAAACCUGAGCGCUCUUUUUCCCAUUUUUGGAUCCUUCGAGGGAGGCGCUCAGCACAAUGAACAAGGCAAUUGGACUAUAAUGCUUGAACACUCUCACUUAGCCAUAGAAUUCUAUAAUUUUAAAUUUCGGUGAAGCCCCUGGUAUUCGGAAGGCCGAGUUCGGGGCGCUAUCCAUGCCUUGGCCGGACAGAGCCGACUCCUCGCUCUAGGCGUCAUAAGUCUUUAAGGAAUCGAAGAACCUCUCAAACAGCGACCAGCUCUCGCUUCAUCAUGACAGUCAGUUUUAGCUUUCUCUACUGAGGUGCUCGACCCAGCUCAACUGGGGCACAAUCGCAGUAGUUCCCCUAGUGCUACCUUAGCCGAUAUAGCGGAACGUAAGGCACCAAAAAUAGGAGUCGGGCAAACCCAACUAUUGACCCAAGACAUGAUUCGGAGCCGAUGCAUAUAAUGCUAUAAGUUCGGGGUGCCGCACUUGUUAAAGUGUUCGGACUUCUCACACCAUAUUGAGGGGUACUAAAGCCCCUGGCAUAUUUUGGCCGUACCAAAGUGUACGGGUGCAACAUGUCGUUAAGGAACAUAUAUUUAAAAAAAGAGUAAUGCAAAAAUAGACAGAAGCUAUGCAUUGUUUAUUAAAAAGGGUUGCGAUCAAAGCAGAACGAUACAAAUAAUGCGAUAAGCAAAAGGUUGGACUAUUUAACAUGUCCGUUCCAGGGACAGGCUGCAGAAUGGUAAGCGAAACAGGUAUACUGCUCAUGAUAGAGACCACCUCGGAGUUCCGUAAUGCGGCAUGGCCUGUCUGCUUCCCUGGUUCUUGCAUCGUUUGUGCGGCAAUUGAACUGCCGAACAGGCCUUCAGGAGAGUGGAGUCCUGAAAGUAAGAGAAAAUUAAAAAAUCGGCAGCCCCUGGUGCGGUUUAAGCCAUGUUUCGGGCGUGCCGUGAUGGUGCCCCUCCCCCUGCACCCAUGGUAUUUCUAGAGCGUAGUUAUGUACGCGAAGUACUAGUGUCGCAUUUUUGCGAGGGCUGGGGUUGGGGCCGCAUUGCUACGCCUACUCGGAACAUGCCAGGCGGUCUUGUUGUAGGUUACUCUGGGCGCGCUUGACGGUGUCUGGACGUUUAAUGGCCAGACUGGAGAACUGCCUGGAGAGGCUGCUUUGUACUUCCGCAGCAAGGGCCGCCGUGUGCUCCUCCGUUCGGAGAGAGCAUUCGGUGUUUCCAUUGACCGUAAUUACUCCUCGAGGGCCUGGCAUCUUGAGCUUAAGGUAUGCUUAGUGCGAUGCCGCAUUGAACUUGGCAAAUGCGGUUCGCCCGAGCAGUGCGUGAUAACCACUGUGGAAUGGGACUAUGUCGAAGAUUAGCUCCUCGCUUCAGAAAUUAUCCGGAGAUCCGAAGACCACUUCAAGUGUGACUGAGCCUGUAUAGUUGGCCUCUACACCUGGUAUUACGCCUUUAAAGGUCGUUUUGGUGGGCUUAAUCCUCGAGGGAUCUAUGCCCAUUUUCCGCACUGUAUCCUGGUAAAGCAGGUUCAGGCUACUGCCGCCGUCCAUCAGGACUCUAGUGAGAUGAAAUCCGUCAAUAAUUGGGUCUAGAACCAAUGCGGCGAAUCCGCCAUGACGGGUGCUAGUGGGAUGGUCCCUUCGAUCAAACGUGGUCAGGCAGGAGGACCAUGGGUUGAACUUUGGGGCGACUGGCUCUAUCGCGUAUACGUCCCUUAACGCGUGCUUUUGCUCCCUCUUGGGGAUGUGGGUUGCGUAUAUCAUGUUCACCGUCCGCACUUGUGGGGGAAAACCCUUCUGUCCACUGUUGUUCAGCGGCCGGGGCUCCUCGUCAUCAUCGCUAUGCGGCCCCUUGUCUGUAUUUUCGGUAUUUAACUUGCCUGCCUGCUUGAACACCCAACAAUCCCUGUUGGUGUGAUUGGCCGGCUUUUCGGGGGUGCCAUGUAUCUGGCACAAGCAGUUGAGUAUUCGGUCCAGACUGGACAGGCCCCUAGGAUUUCUUUUGAAUGGCUUUUUCCGCUGACCGGAUUUAUAGCCUCUGAAUCCGGCAUUAACUGCCGUAUCCUCAGCAUUGUCGCUGUUAGUGCGGCGCUUCUGCUUGUUGCGAUGCGACCUGCCACUACUGUCCCUGGUAUCCGAAUUACCAGGGUUCUUGGUCAUAUUGUUGCUACGAGCAAGCCAGCUAUCUUCUCCCGCGCAAAAGCGGGUCAUGAGUGUCGUGAGUGCUGCCAUAGAUUUCGGCUUUUCCUGUCCAAGGUGCCGGGCAAGCCACUCAUCACGGAUAUUGUGCUUGAAGGCUGCUAGGGCCUCAGCGUCCGGACAGUCGACUAUUUGAUUUUUCUUUGUUAGGAACCGUGUCUAGAAUUGCCUGGCUGAUUCCUCUGGCUGCUGAAUUACGUGGCUUAGGUCAUCGGCGUCUGGUGGUCGCACAUAAGUGCCCUGGAAAUUGUCGAGGAAUGUGGCUUCCAAGUCCUCCCAACAACCGAUUGAUCCUGCUGGCAAGCUGUUAAGCCAAUGCCGAGAUGGUCCUUUAAGCUUGAGUGGGAGGUAUUUGAUGGCGUGCAGAUCAUCGCCGCGGGCCAUGUGGAUAUGAAGGAGAUAAUCCUCAAUCCAUACCGCAGGAUCUGUUGUGCCAUCAUAUGAUUCGAUGUUUACGGGUUUGAAACCCUCGGGGAUUUGAUGAUCCAUUACUUCGUCUGUGAAGCAUAGAGGGUGUGCGGCGCCUCUAUACUGGGCUAUAUCACGACGUAGCUCCAAUGAGCUUUGUCUACUGUGUUCGGCCCUGUCGGAUUUGUGUCUGGCGUGACGGUUACUGUCUCGAGUCAUGGGGCGCCCACGCGAUCCGUAGAUCGAUCUUGUUUGCCUUGCCUUGUCCUCCAACAUAUCUCGCAAGUCUGGCACAUUUUCUCGUGCCUUGGUAUGGGGUGCGGCUUGAGUGGAGGGCCGAGAGGCCUCUCUGUCGCGGCCACGAGGUGGCCGGUCGGCCGUAUCAAGUGCUGGUGAUGUAGGUUUAAGUGCUUCCUCCUCUAAUCGGGGUAGCAACCUGCGCUUUGGGUAGCUCUUGGAGGGGCGUUCGAGUUUAUGCUCUUCGGCCGCAAGGACUUCAGUCCAUCUGUCGACUAGCAAAUCUUGAUCAGCUCUAAGCUGUUGCUAUUUUUUCUUGAGGCUUCUUGCCGUGGCCAUAAGCCUGCGUUGAAAAUGCUCUUGCUCGACGGGAUCCUCUGGCACGACGAAUUCGUCGUCGUCGAGGCUUGCCUCGUCUUCGGAGGGAGGCAUAUAGUUAUCGUCCUCGACCUCUUUGUCUGCCGCUCUCUCGUGAGGGCUGGCUUCUCCAUCCUCCUGUGCUGAAUCUUGCUGGAGGAGGUUUUCUUCAGCGCUCUCCGGAGUAUUAUUAUCUCCCGUGCUGGAGUCACCGUAAUUGUUUUGGCGGGAUUUUGAGCGGUGCCGCUGACGCCGGCGCUUAGGCUAUUUCUUGGAGGGGUCAUCCUCCGCUGUUCCAUCACCAUCUCCUUAUUUUGGGGUGUCCACCAUGUAUAUGUCAUACGACGAGGUGGCUUUCCAGGGCCCCGUAGGCGCUGGUUCUUCAUCGUCUCCUGCACCGACGUCCAUACCGUCGAUGUCUUUGAAGUCGAAGUCGAGCAUGUCCGUUAAAUCGUCGACAGUGGCUACAAAGUGGGUGGUGUGUGGGCUUUGAAUUUCUUCAUCGUCUGUAUCCCAACCUUGCUGACCGUAGUCCGGCCAGGGCUCUCCUGAUAAAGAGAGAGACUUUAGUGUUUUCAGAAUAUCGUCGAAAGGCGAGUGCUGAAAGAUGUCCGCGGCAGUAAACUCCAUGAUCGGUGCCCAAUCAGAUUCGAUCGGCAGGGGCGCGGAGGGUUCGGAGUCCGGAGAGGAGUCCGACUCCUUGGAGUCAUGAGUAUCGCGGAGUGUGGGGCUAGUGUUUGGCUCGAUCACCGUUGGGAUCGCAGCCCUCGAGGCGGCGUCCAACCACCCAUCCUCGAUCGGCGCAGUUGGCUCCGAAUUAAGGGUCGAAGCUAAUGCGGGUGCGGCCUCCAGGGCACUGUUCGGCGGCAGAGCUAGAUCAUGCUCGUCGUGACAGUGCAGCGCGCUCGGCAGUGGCUCGAAUCCGUCGAGGAUCAAGUCCCCGCGGAUGUCAGCCGUGUAGUUUAAACUUCCAAAUCUGACCUGACGGCCAGGGGCAUAGCUUUCGAUCUGCUCCAGACGGCCAAGUGAAUUGGCCCGCAGUGCGAAGCCGCCGAAGACGAAGAUCUGUCCGAGGAGGAUGGUCUCACCCUGGACUGCAUCGCUAUUGAUGAUCAUAGGAGCCAUCAAGCCUAACGGCGAUGACACAGAGGAACUCUCAAUGAAAGCACCAAUGUCGAUGUCAAAACCGGCGAAUCUCGGGUAGGGGGUCCCGAACUGUGCGUCUAGGCCGGAUGGUAAUAGGAGGCAAGGGACACGAAGUUUUACCCAGGUUUGGGCCCUCUCGAUGGAGGUAAAACCCUAUGUCCUGCUUGAUUAAUAUUGAUGAUAUGGGUAGUACAAGAGUAGAUCUACCACGAGAUCAGAGAGGCUAAACCCUAGAAGCUAGCCUAUGGUAUGAUUGUUGUUCCGUAUGUUGUCCUAGGGACUAAAACCCUCCGGUUUAUAUAGACACUGGAGAGGGUUAGGGUUACACAAAGUCGGUUACAAUGGUAGGAGAUCUACAUAUCCGUAUCGCCAAGCUUGCCUUCCACGCCAAGGAAAGUCCCUUCCGGACACGGGACGAAGUCUUCAAUCUUUGUAUCUUCAUAGCCCAGGAGUCCGGCUGAAGGUAUAGUCCGGCCAUCCGGACACCCCCUAAUAUAGGACUCCCUCAUACCCCUACACACGGAUACUCCAAGGUGGACUACGCUCGAUGAUGUGACAAGUUCCUCCACCGAUGACUCGAAAAAAACAUGAAUAUUGUCGACCAUCAAAGACCCCGUGGACGUCAAGUUCCGUGCCAUUGACCUCGAACCUCUACGAAAACGUGUACGACUACUUCCGUGGCCGAAGACCCGUGUACAACUACCAUCGCCGAAGGUCAUCGAGUGAACGUCUACCCACAUCGUGUAUUUGACCAAGUUCGAUGACAACUUCCGGAGAACUCGGAUUCACCAAGUUCCACUACCGUCGCCCUAGAAACCUUGGAUUCGUCAAGUACCUCUUCGAAAACGAACGUGAACCACUACUUCCCUCGACGACCCGUGAACGACUACUUCCUCUACUUCCCUCGACGAACUUGAACCGUCCCGUUUGCAUGCUUUAAAGGUAUACCGCCGAGAAUGACCGCCCGUGGACUAAUGCAUGUGUGGUGUAUCAGAUGCCCAUGGUUGCUUCGUGUCGGAGUUGUUCGUUGCACGAAGCCCCUCUUUUGCCUUGCCACCGUCAUGUGGGACACCCGGUAUCCAGGAGCACCCCACCAUCCUUGCAUGACACGCUCCCGUCACUUUCUUUUGCACCGACGUCUCAAUGAGUUGUCGGAACCGGAACGUUGCUGUGGCACCAUUUCGUUGUCGUUGCCGUGGCACCCCUUUUCGUUUCCGCCACGAGGACAAAUGCUUCAUAAUGCUCUUGUCAACUUUUAAUAAAAAUUUCAUAAACUUGUCAUGUCAUCCGCAUCAUGAUAACAACAAUUCAAAUGUUUAAAUUGUUGUUGCAAUAAAUUACUAAGGCAUAUGGGGAUUUACCGGAUUCGUUAUUUGUUAUAUCUAGCCCCAUUUAAAUUAUUUAGAUGGUGUAGUUUUGUUAUGCCUCACCUCUUGCCAUGUUAACCAACAUUUAAUUUUGUUGAGUUCCUAACCGGGAGUGAACUAAAUAAUUGAUGUGGUGUUCCGUUAAUAUGCAACUCGUUGCAUAUUGGGCUCCACUUAACUUGUAGUUUUGUUUGUGCACUUUGCCAUGCCAUGCAUAUUUAAACCGGACAUGCAUCAUACUUGGAUGUGCAUCAUGCCAUGUUUAUGUGAUGGUUGUUCACUAUGUUGUUUGCUUCUUUCCGGUGUUGCUUCUUCGGGUUAGUUCCGAUAAUGUCGCGUUGUGAGGAUUCGUUCGACUACGUCCAUUUGUCUUCUUCUUGGACUCGUUCUUCUUCCUUGCGGGAUCUCAGGCAAGAUGACCAUACCCUCGAAAUCACUUCUAUCUUUGCUUGCUAGUUGCUCGCUCUUUUGCUAUGCCGCGAUACCUACCACUUGCUAUAUCAUGCCUCCCAUAUUGCCAUGUCAAGCCUCUAACCCACCUUUCCUAGCAAACCGUUGUUUGGCUAUGUUACCGCUUUGCUCAGCCCCUCUUAUAGCAUUGUUAGUUGCAGGUGAAGAUUGGAGUUUGUUCCUUGUUGGAACAUGUUUAUUGUUGGGAUAUCACAAUAUCUCUUAUUUACUUUAAUGCACCUAUAUACUUGGUAAAGGGUGGAAGGCUCAUCCUUAUGCCUGGUGAUUUGUUCCACUCUUGCCGCCCUAGUUUCCGUCAUACCGGUAUUAUGUUCCUUUAUUUUGUGUUCCUUACGCGGUUGGGUUAUAAUGGGAACCCCUUGACGGUUCGCCUUGAAUAAAACUCCUCCAGCAAGGACCAACCUUGGUUUUACCAUUUGCCACCUCAGCCAUUUUCCCUUGGGUUCUACAGACUCAAGGGUCGUCUUUAUUUUAAACCCCCGGGCCAGUGCUCCUCUGAGUGUUGGUCCAACCUGUCAGCCGCCGGUGGCCACCAGGGGCAACUCUGGGCUGGCCUACCGGAAGUUUGGACAAUCUGGUGUGCCCUGAGAAUGAGAUAUGUGCAGCUCCUAUCGGGAUUUGUCGGCACAUUCGGGUGGCUUUGCUGGUCUUGUUUUACCAUUGUCGAAAUGUCUUGUAACCGGGAUUCCGAGUCUGAUCGGGUCUUCUUGGGAGAAGGAAUAUCCUUCGUUGACCGUGAGAACUUGUGAUGGGCUAAGUUGGGACACCCCUGCAGGGUUAUGAACUUUCGAAAGUCGUGCCCGCGGUUAUGGGCAGAUGGGAAUUUGUUAAUGUCCUGUUGUAGAAAACUUGACACUUAACUUAAUUAAAAUCCAUCAACCACGUGUGUAGCCGUGAUGGUCUCCUUCCGGCGGAGUCUGGGAAGUGAACACGGUUUCGUGUUAUGCUUGAACGGAAGUAGUUUCAGGAUCACUUCUUGAUCAUUUUAGCCUCUCGACCGUGCUUUGCUUCUCUUCUCGCUCUCAUUUGCAUAAGUUAACCACCAUAUGUGCUAGUGCUUGCUGCAGCUCCCCCUCACUACCUUUUCCUACCCAUAAGCUUAAAUAAUCUUGGUCUCGUGGGUGUGAGAUUGCUGAGUCCCCGUGACUCACAGAUUACUUCCAAAACCUGUUGCAGGUGCCGAUGAGACCAGUGCAGGUGACGCAACUGAGCUCAAGGAGGAGCUCGAUGAAGUUCGUGUUCGUUGUGUUGUUUCAUUUCCAGAUGAUCAGUUGUGAAGCCUAGUCGGGGCGAUCGGGGAUCUAUGCAUUAGGGGUUGUCUUUCUUUAUUUGGUUUUGUAGUCGAAUCUUGAUUGUAUUCUGGAUGAUGUAAUGCUAUAUUUAUGUAUUGUGUGAAGUGGCGAUUGUAAGCCAACUCUUUAUCCCUCUCUUAUUCAGUACAUGGGAUGUGUAAAGAUUACCCCUCUUGCGACAUGCCUACAAUGCGG
RNAcentral lists this long non-coding RNA (15583 nucleotides) under Triticum aestivum (bread wheat). RNAcentral's name for it is "long non-coding RNA (TAES_LNC020443)". Lineage: Eukaryota; Viridiplantae; Streptophyta; Magnoliopsida; Poales; Poaceae. The record is from RNAcentral.